GCCCCCAUCAUUGUCUAUGUCAAAGUGUCCUCUCCAAAGGUUCUUCAAAGACUCAUUAAGUCCAGAGGAAAAUCUCAAAGCAAACAUCUCAACGUGCAAAUGAUGGCAGGAGAUAAACUAGUACAGUGCCCACCAGAAAUGUUUGAUGUUAUACUGGAUGAGAAUCAGU
Molecule: long non-coding RNA, 169 nt
Organism: Sinocyclocheilus grahami
Lineage: Eukaryota; Metazoa; Chordata; Actinopteri; Cypriniformes; Cyprinidae
Exons: 3
Source: RefSeq, a predicted model, not a curated record